Nymphaea colorata (pocket water lily) is the source of this 1739-nucleotide RNA transcript. RefSeq lists it as uncharacterized. The transcript is spliced from 3 exons. NCBI's taxonomy places the organism in Eukaryota, Viridiplantae, Streptophyta, Magnoliopsida, Nymphaeales, Nymphaeaceae. The record is from RefSeq and is a predicted model, not a curated record.
CAAAAAGGAGGGAUGAGUUGCCGGAAAAGGAGGGCUUUGCAGCCCUUCCGGAAAAAGAGGGCUUUGCAGCCCUUCUUUUCCAGUAACCACAUGGCCAACGAAGAGGGUUUCAAAUGCGCCGAUGAGGUUAUCACCUUGCCGGCGGUUUGAGUUUUCCUCACAACCCUCGGCCAUUGCUGACGAUUGUGUUUUUUUUAAACCCUCGACCAUUGCAAGGGUUUAUUUGUUCUUGAAACCCGCGGCAAUGGCCGAGAGUUUGGUUUUUUGUGAAACCCUCGGCCAUUACCGAGGGUUCUGUUCUACUUGAAAGUUGAAACCCUCGGCAAUGGCCGAGGGUUCUGGUUGAUGUCAAACCCUCGGCCAUUGCCGAGGGUUUGUCUGUGCUCUCAGACCCUCAGCCAAUAGAGAGAGAUUUGUAGAGAGAGAACAGAGGGAGAUCUGUAGGUAUAGAGAGGGAGAGAGAGAGAGAGAGAGAGGCGAUGCCAGAGAUGGCUUCAUGGGCGUGGCGGAAGAGCCCCGGCACGACCCUGGAGAGGUCGCUUCCCCCUUUCUGUCGUCGCACUCUUCUUUUUGCUGCUGGACUGGCCAACUGUCUGUCGCCUUGCUUUGUACCGUUCCAUCUCUCUCUUGAUGUUGUGAAAUUGAAAGAGAAGGAAAGCACGAGAAUUAAGGUAGAAGCAGGUCGGAGGAGGAAAAGGGACAGCGAACGAUGAAAGAACAACAAUUCAGAGUUGCUUCCUUUCACCCCCAAAAUCACAAAAAGAGACAUCGGAUAUCAAAAUCAGGUCUUCAAAGUAGAAACGAUGGCGAAGUGGACAAUGUCGCCGGAGGAGGAAAAUAACAAGCCGCCGGGAAUAGUAGCAGGGUAUUUUGCUGGAACAGCACAAUGCGGCCGGAAGAGGGAUAAAACACGGCAAUCCAACCCUAGAUAGUCCAAUAGAUGCAUUUAUCUCCGGAAACAGAUGGGUCGAUCAUCGGAAGCUGAGGAACAAGCUCCGAAUCGAUGUUUGGAACAAUAGCUUUUGCGGAGAAAAGGAGAACGAAGUAUAGAUGGGGCGAAAGAGGGGAAUGGAACGAGCUUACCUGUGAAGAAAUGCGAUCGCCCAACCGGCUCUGUGAUGAGAAGAGAAUCGAAGGAGUUCGGUUCGAACGGAGGAGGAAGAUGCGAUAGCGAGGGAGAAAGUGCUCGGUCGAUGUGUGAUGAAAAGGGGAUAGAAGAAGCUCCGUCGAUCGAAAGAGGAAGCAGCAGUAGCGAGGGAGAAAGAGCUCGGUCGAUCGGCGGUGGCGAGGGAGAGGAGCGCGCACGAUGGAAAAAGCCCCAACGGGCAAAAAAAAAAUCGUUGAAAAAAAGUCGGACCCCCACGGGUCCGACUUUUUUCCGGGGUAAAUUUACCCUGAAAAUCGACUUUUAGCACGCUCAAACUGCUCAACUUCAAAAACUCUCACCAGAAAACGCUGCGUCCGCCCCUCCCUUUGGUGAGCAGUCUGGCGGUGACAGUAACAUCUUCGGUGGCGGCAGCUCUCUCCCUAGCUGUGACAGCUCUUUCUCUAUGGCAGCAGCAUUCUCUUCACAUUGCAGCUUAAGCUACUCAAUAUCAGAUAAUCUCACCAGAUAUUCAAAAAAAUGCUGACAUCCACCCCUCCCUUCAGUGAAUUAGUUUUUUCUUGCUAGAAUAUUAUCUUGAGAACAAUCACAUUUAGCUUAACAUUUUUUUGUCUAUGAAAUUUGCUUUGUUUUC